RNAcentral lists this ribosomal RNA (468 nucleotides) under uncultured bacterium. Its description in RNAcentral is "partial 16S ribosomal RNA". It matches the Rfam family "Bacterial small subunit ribosomal RNA", at positions 28 to 507 of the family's 1533-position model. The record is from RNAcentral.
GACGAACGCUGGCGGCGUGCUUAACACAUGCAAGUCGAACGGAAAGGCCCUGCUUUUGUGGUGUGCUCGAGUGGCGAACGGGUGUGUAACACGUGAGUAACCUGCCCUUCACUUUGGGAUAACUUCAGGAAACUGGGGCUAAUACCGGAUAGGAGCCCCCGCUGCAUGGUGGGGGUUGGAAAGUUUCGGCGGUUGGGGAUGGGCUCGCGGCUUAUCAGGUUGUUGGGGGGGGAGUGGCUUACCAAGGCUUUGAAGGGUAGCCGGCCUGAGAGGGUAAACGGGACAUUUGGGAAGAGGGACGGGCCAGACUCCCACGGGGGGGAAAAGGGGGGGAAAUUUCACAAAUGGGGGGAAGCCGGAGGAAGAAACGCCGGGUGCGGGAUGACGGCCUUCGGGUGGUAAACCGCUUUCGCCUGUGACGAAGCGUGAGUGACGGUAAUGGGUAAAGAAGCACCGGCUAACUACGUG